GACGAACGCUGGCGGCGUGCUUAACACAUGCAAGUCGAACGGAAAGGCCCUGCUUUUGUGGGGUUCUCGAGUGGCGAACGGGUGAGUAACACGUGAGUAACCUGCCCUUGACUUUGGGAUAACUUCAGGAAACUGGGGCUAAUACCGUAUAGGAGCUCCUGCUGCAUGGUGGGGGUUGGAAAGUUUCGGCGGUUGGGGAUGGACUCGCGGCUUAUCGGCUUGUUGGUGGGGUAGUGGCUUACCAAGGCUUGGACGGGUAGCCGGCCUGAGAGGGUGACCGGCCACAUUGGGACUGAGAUACGGCCCAGACUCCUACGGGAGGCAGCAGUGGGGAAUAUUGCACAAUGGGCGGAAGCCUGAUGCAGCAACGCCGCGUGCGGGAUGACGGCCUUCGGGUUGUAAACCGCUUUCGCCUGUGACGAAGCGUGAGUGACGGUAAUGGGUAAAGAAGCACCGGCUAACUACGUG
This 468-nucleotide ribosomal RNA is filed under the name uncultured bacterium. RNAcentral describes it as "partial 16S ribosomal RNA". It matches the Rfam family "Bacterial small subunit ribosomal RNA", at positions 28 to 507 of the family's 1533-position model. The record is from RNAcentral.